Molecule: unclassified non-coding RNA, 223 nt
Filed under: plant metagenome
Description: partial contains small subunit ribosomal RNA, internal transcribed spacer 1, and 5.8S ribosomal RNA
Source: RNAcentral
UUUCCGUAGGUGAACCUGCGGAAGGAUCAUUACAGUGUUCUCUGCCCUCACGGGUGGAAACGCCCACCCUUGUGUAUUAUAUCUUUGUUGCUUUGGCAGGCCGCCCUCGGCUACCGGCUCCGGCAGGAUUGCGCCCGCCAGAGGAAACUCAAACUCUGAAUGUUAGUGCCGUCUGUGUACUAUCUAAUAAUUAAAACUUUCAACAACGGAUCUCUUGGUUCUG